Siniperca chuatsi (mandarin fish) is the source of this 473-nucleotide long non-coding RNA. RefSeq lists it as uncharacterized. The transcript has 3 exons. Lineage: Eukaryota; Metazoa; Chordata; Actinopteri; Centrarchiformes; Sinipercidae. The record is from RefSeq and is a predicted model, not a curated record.
UGCUCACAUCGCCUUGGCGCGAUGCGUCUGCGGCAGCUCGUUGCAACUUGAGCGGAUAAUUUGCUUGUCCCGGCUCCUUAUGAAUCUACUUCGACGCACAGAGGCGAGAAAAAACAUUAGAGAGACAACAACACGAAGAACAGGAGUUUUUUUUGUGACUUGUGAGAUAUGCAGCCUCAAUGGAUGACAUGAAAGAAGAGGAACUUUGUACAGACCAGCUGAGAGAACAUCUUCUCUGUGCCGAAGCUCUGAGGCAUGGAAUGAGUAACGAGGUAACAGCUAUCUACUGCAUCGCUUCAUCACAGUUGCAAUAAAAGAAGUCUGUGAGCGGAAGACAACAAAACAACAUGACCAGCACUGCAACAUCAGGUGAGUCUUUUGUAAAUGUUACAUGUUUUUCAGAAUGUAGAUUUUAGAAACACAGGAUAAAGACAGUCUUUGGUCACAAAUAAAAUAUUCUGCUGAGACACAGA